Long non-coding RNA from Ailuropoda melanoleuca (giant panda), 557 nucleotides. RefSeq lists it as uncharacterized. NCBI's taxonomy places the organism in Eukaryota, Metazoa, Chordata, Mammalia, Carnivora, Ursidae. The transcript is spliced from 3 exons. The record is from RefSeq and is a predicted model, not a curated record.
ACAGGCAUAUCUUGGAGAUGUUGUAGGUCCAGUUCCAGACCACUGCACUAAAGCUAAUAUUGCAACAAUAAAAGCUCUUGGGUGACCAAGUGCAUUGUCAAUGAGAAAUAAUGCAGGGAUCUUUAAGAAGAAUCUUUUUUUUGAACAGUAGGUCUCAACAGUGGGCUCAAAAUCUUCAGUAAAGCAUGUGAUUUAUUUACAUGGCUACUAGAGACGCCAAGAUGAGUAAGAUGUGACACCUGCCCUCCAUGAAUGCUAAUAGAAGAAACAGACAUGUGAGUACAGAUGCUAUAAUAAAAACCAAGCGUAGGAGUUCUGUUGGAAUGCAGUAGAUGGUCUGACUAAUUCCGUGGGAGCAGAGGUAAGCUAUCACAGAGUGUUUGCGUCUCGAAGGAUGGAUCGAAUUUCUUCAGGCAGACGGGGAGAGGCAUUGCCAGUAGAGGAGACAGCAAGAGUGGAAGCAUCAAGGACUAGGAGAGAGUUUCUGGGCCUUUAGACAGGCUGCAAAGCUUGGGCUUGGAGUACUGUGUGGAGCCGGGCCGAUCUUAGUGGGUAAG